GAUGAAGAACGUAGCGAAAUGCGAUAAGUAAUGUGAAUUGCAGAAUUCAGUGAAUCAUCGAAUCUUUGAACGCAUCUUGCGCUCCUUGGUAUUCUGAGGAGCAUGCCUGUUUGAGUGUCAUUAAAUUCUCAACUACACUGACUUUGAAUUGGUGUGGCUUGGAUUUGGGGGGAAAAUUGUUGUGGGCUUUUUGUAUAGUCUGCUCCCCUGAAAUUGAUUAGCGGUACCUUUGUGGAACUGUCUACAGGUGUGAUAAUUAUCUACAUCUUAGACAUCUGCUGGAAUGCUGCUUUCUAAUCCUUACUUGUAUUGACAAUCUUGACCUCAAAUCAGGUAGGACUACCCGCUGAACUUAAGCAUAUCAAUAAGCGGAGGA
Molecule: unclassified non-coding RNA, 376 nt
Filed under: soil metagenome
Description: partial contains 5.8S ribosomal RNA, internal transcribed spacer 2, and large subunit ribosomal RNA
Rfam family: 5.8S ribosomal RNA (bases 1-120)
Source: RNAcentral